GAAGAAGACACCGGCUAACUCCGUGCCAGCAGCCGCGGUAAUACGGAGGGUGCGAGCGUAAUCGGAAUUACUGGGCGUAAAGACGCAUGCAGGCGGCCGUCGUUAAGUCAGAUGUGAAAGACCCGGGGCGUUAACCCUCGGAAAUUGCAUUUGUAAACUAGGCAGGCUAGAGUCUUGUAGAGGGGGGUAGGAAGUUUCAGGUGUAGCGGUGAAAUGCGUAGAGAUCUGAAGGAAUACCAGUGGCGAAGGCGGCCCCCUCGGACAAAGACUGACGCUCAGAUGCGAAAGCGUGGGGAGCAAACAGGAUUAGAUACCCUGGUAG
Molecule: ribosomal RNA, 322 nt
Filed under: uncultured bacterium
Lineage: Bacteria
Description: bacterial SSU rRNA
Rfam family: Bacterial small subunit ribosomal RNA
Source: RNAcentral